This 433-nucleotide ribosomal RNA is filed under the name uncultured bacterium. RNAcentral describes it as "partial 16S ribosomal RNA". It matches the Rfam family "Bacterial small subunit ribosomal RNA", at positions 29 to 507 of the family's 1533-position model. The record is from RNAcentral.
AACGAACGCUGGCGGCAUGCCUAACACAUGCAAGUCGAACGAGACCUUCGGGUCUAGUGGCGCACGGGUGCGUAACGCGUGGGAACCUGCCCUUAGGUUCGGAAUAACUCCUCGAAAGGGGUGCUAAUACCGGAUAAUGUCUCCGGACAAAAGAUUUAUCGCCUUUGGAUGGGCCCGCGUUGGAUUAGCUAGUUGGUAGGGUAAAAGCCUACCAAGGCGACGAUCCAUAGCUGGGCUGAGAGGAUGAUCAGCCACACUGGGACUGAGACACGGCCCAGACUCCUACGGGAAGCAGCAGUGGGGAAUAUUGGACAAUGGGCGAAAGCCUGAUCCAGCAAUGCCGCGUGAGUGAUGAAGGCCUUAGGGUUGUAAAGCUCUUUUACCCGGGAUGAUAAUGACAGUACCGGGAGAAUAAGCUCCGGCUAACUCCGUG